CUUUAAGGCAGCAUGUUCAAGGUGCACGUCAAAAGUUCCACAAGUUUGUUCCCCCGACUUUCCCACUGACUCACCGCCUGACCAGAGACUGCUCACUGAAACUCCCUGGGCCGGUUUCAUGAUCAUGUGUAAAACAGGGUUAAUGAGAUCUGCUUCCCCAGGGCGCUGCAAGAACCAAGUUAUGGUUUGCAAAAGGCUUUGUGACUCAUACAUAAAAGGCUGUACAAGAAAGUAAACUGUCAUUGAGCCUUACAAACAGUUUUCAUCCCAAUUAUCCUAGUCAAGAGAGAAGGCUAUCCUAAGCUUUCAAAAGAUAAUUCAAUUAGCAUGAAGUUCCGAGAAUUUUCAAAGCUCAGGUGCUGACUCAGGUUUUUUGUCUUUUUUUUUUUUCUAGGAAUCAGAAAUGUCAUUCAUAGAUAAGUGCAGGGAGGAGCAAAAUAGAAAGACAGGAAAUUCUUGGCUCUGGGAUCUGGUAAUAAGGGAGCCUGCCACUUUCAAAUUACCUGCUGGAAUCCAGCUCAAGACAAUUAUAGAUGAAAAAUCUUCCUGAUCUUCAGCCACCUACCCAAAAUUGAUGUUGGUUUUACACUUCCUAAAGUUGGAGCAAUGAUUUUCAUGACUUAGGGAGUGGCAGAACCAUCAUUAUCCUAACAGCCAGGAUCCGAUUCUUCUUGAAGAACCGUCCGUCCUGUUGGGGAACUGCUUUGAUAAGCUCUUGGGGUUGGAAGAUGACACUUUCAGAGCACCCUUGUCAGCAGAAGCCAAGGAAACUGACAGCUAAACUUCUCUGCCACCUGCAUAAGAGGAAUUGCUGGGGAGUGGAAGGGGGACAUGGAAAGGAAAAGGAGAAGGUAACCACAGAGAACCCAGAUAGGAGAGAAAGAAAUUAGCCAACCCAGUAUGGCAAGACUGAGGCAUCUCACUGAACAAGACCACAGAACUUCCUCCAAAGACAGUGAGAAAAUAUCUGACCAGUUGAUGAAGAAUAGAGCGUGUGGAAGACAAAGGAGGAACAACCACUCUCAGCUUCUACCUGCCCCUGGGCUGAUGAAGGAGCCUGUAUCAGAGUGAAGGGAUGUACUCUCACCCAGCUACAGAUUGUGAUGAAUCCCUUAUCACCUGACUUUACACCCACUGUCCCCCAAACGCUGGAUUCGGCUGCGAUUGAGAAGAGGGCAAGACAAACUCCUCUGCCUUAUAGUCCUGUAUUC
This 1211-nucleotide long non-coding RNA is filed under the name Cervus hanglu yarkandensis (Yarkand deer). Its description in RNAcentral is "lncRNA (ENSCHYG00000025134.1)". The record is from RNAcentral. Lineage: Eukaryota; Metazoa; Chordata; Mammalia; Artiodactyla; Cervidae.